Molecule: ribosomal RNA, 468 nt
Filed under: uncultured bacterium
Lineage: Bacteria
Description: partial 16S ribosomal RNA
Rfam family: Bacterial small subunit ribosomal RNA
Source: RNAcentral
GAUGAACGCUGGCGGCGUGCCUAACACAUGCAAGUCGAGCGAUCUUCUUCGGAAGUGAGCGGCGGACGGGUGAGUAACGCGUGGGUAACCUGCCCUGUACACACGGAUAACAUACCGAAAGGUAUGCUAAUACGGGAUAAUAUGCUUUUAUCGCAUGGUAGAAGUAUCAAAGCUCCGGCGGUACAGGAUGGACCCGCGUCUGAUUGGCUAGUUGGUAAGGUAAUGGCUCACCAAGGCGACGAUCAGUAGCCGACCUGAGAGGGUGAUCGGCCACAUUGGAACUGAGACACGGUCCAAACUCCUACGGGAGGCAGCAGUGGGGAAUAUUGCACAAUGGGCGAAAGCCUGAUGCAGCAACGCCGCGUGAGCGAUGAAGGCCUUCGGGUCGUAAAGCUCUGUCCUCAAGGAAGAUAAUGACGGUACUUGAGGAGGAAGCCCCGGCUAACUACGUGCCAGCCGCCGCAGUAA